AGUGAACGCUGGCGGUAGGCCUAACACAUGCAAGUCGAACGGCAGCACAGGAGAGCUUGCUCUCUGGGUGGCGAGUGGCGGACGGGUGAGGAAUACAUCGGAAUCUACUUUUUCGUGGGGGAUAACGUAGGGAAACUUACGCUAAUACCGCAUACGACCUACGGGUGAAAGCAGGGGAUCUUCGGACCUUGCGCGAUUGAAUGAGCCGAUGUCGGAUUAGCUAGUUGGCGGGGUAAAGGCCCACCAAGGCGACGAUCCGUAGCUGGUCAGAGAGCAUGAUGAGCCACACUGGAACGGGGACACGGUCCAGACUCCUACGGGAGGCAGCAGUGGGGAAUAUUGGACAAUGGGCGCAAGCCUGAUCCAGCCAUACCGCGUGGGUGAAGAAGGCCUUCGGGUUGUAAAGCCCUUUUGUUGGGAAAGAAAUCCAGCUGGUUAAUACCCGGUUGGGAUGACGGUACCCAAAGAAUAAGCACCGGCUAACUUCGUGCCAGCCGCCGCCGUAA
Molecule: ribosomal RNA, 506 nt
Filed under: uncultured bacterium
Lineage: Bacteria
Description: partial 16S ribosomal RNA
Rfam family: Bacterial small subunit ribosomal RNA
Source: RNAcentral